CACCUUCCUGGGCUCCAGGACACCAGGACAUCUUGGCUGGGGGCUGCCCCAUGGAGCCAGUGACCUUGCAGCUGUCCCCGGAGACCUCCCUGCACCAGGCACACAACCUCUUCGAGCU
Hipposideros armiger (great roundleaf bat) is the source of this 118-nucleotide long non-coding RNA. RefSeq lists it as uncharacterized. The transcript has 3 exons. NCBI's taxonomy places the organism in Eukaryota, Metazoa, Chordata, Mammalia, Chiroptera, Hipposideridae. The record is from RefSeq and is a predicted model, not a curated record.